GAUAUGGCUCAGGAUGAACGCUAGCGGCAGGCUUAACACAUGCAAGUCGAGGGGCAGCGCGGAGUAGCAAUACUCUGGCGGCGACCGGCGGAAGGGUGCGUAACGCGUGAGCAACUUGCCCGCAUCAGGGGGAUAAGCGUUGGAAACGGCGUCUAAUACCCCGUAACAACGGUGACCGCAUGAUCACCGUUUGAAAGCUCCGGCGGAUGCGGAUGGGCUCGCGUGACAGUUAGCUAGUCGGCGGGGUAACGGCCCACCGAGGCGACGAUGUCUAGGGGUUCUGAGAGGAACGGUCCCCCACACUGGAACUGAGACACGGUCCAGACUCCUACGGGAGGCAGCAGUGAGGAAUAUUGGUCAAUGGCCGGAAGGCUGAACCAGCCAUGCCGCGUGCAGGGAAAUGGACGGCCCUAGUGGGUACGUAAACUGUCUUUUGUGGCGGAGCAAGUAAGGGCUACGUGUAGUCCGAUGAGAGUACGUCACGAAUAAGCAUCGGCUAACUCCGUGCCAGCCGCUGC
Molecule: ribosomal RNA, 518 nt
Filed under: uncultured bacterium
Lineage: Bacteria
Description: bacterial SSU rRNA
Rfam family: Bacterial small subunit ribosomal RNA
Source: RNAcentral